Molecule: non-coding RNA, 9764 nt
Organism: Callithrix jacchus (white-tufted-ear marmoset)
Lineage: Eukaryota; Metazoa; Chordata; Mammalia; Primates; Cebidae
Source: RefSeq, a predicted model, not a curated record
CAGAAAACCAGCAAUGAAGACCUGCACAAGAUGAAUAUGAAGAAGUGGGCAUUUUUCUUCCUUCUCCCCAGACCCACCAAAUGUAGUUGAUUUCAGCCAUACACACCCUCUCAGUCAAAGAGGAGGCAGGUUGAUUGACUUCAUUCCCUUCGGUUCUCCUGGCUGUCUUAGACCCAACAUGUUACAAUAUUUGCAGUAAAUACCAUCUAAUACUGGCUGUGCAUUCUGGUUCUGAAAGAUGUGUUGGCCAUCUGCUGCUCUCCCCGCCUUGUGACGUCUGUCUUUUUGUCUCUUGCUCAUCCCAUCUCUCCUGCGUGGUGGAUGUAUAGGACAUGCGAUCAGAGCCGUAGCUGGAUUUGGCAGACAGAUGCUGGAGUCGGGUGGGCGUUGGCUUUGUGAACCAGAAAGUCCCAGGCUCACGGGACAGCAGGACAGGUCACAGGACAGCAGGACAGUUCACAGGACAACAGGACAGGUCACAGGACACCUGUGACCCUGUGGGUCAGAAUCAAAAGCCUCCUCAGGAGCUGCUUCUGUGGGGUCAGGCUUAGGCUGGUCCUGGCGGUUGCACCAUACUGGACCAGGAUGUUUGUUCCUUAAUUAUGACUGGAGUUCCUCCCUGGCAUAUGCACAUCCAAGGGGCUUGUCUAAAAACUCCAGUGAAGAAGAGGGAGAAGGGGGAAGUCAAAAUCCUCCCUAACUAGAUCAGUCGGAUUUUAACCUUGAUCCUGAAUUGGAUCCUGGAUAAGAAAUCGAAUCCUGAAAGAUCCUCCUCCCGGCUGUCUCUCCCUGACUCUACCUUCCCCCAACCCCGUUCGGGAAAACUACAGCGGGGAGCAGUCGAGCAAACCAAAUGUCAUUAUUCAUUUUUCAUAAGAAAGUGAAGUUGAAAUUGGAAUUAGCAUCGUUAUUCUGUUUGUGUUUUACAUUAAGGCCAAUUUUAUGUAUCUAGAUUGCCUGAAAGAAGCUGUAGUAAAAACUGAAAGCGACCGUCACAGGGAGCCAAUAAGCUAACCAUUGACUAGUUUUACUUAUUGGAACCGUCCCCAACCGGUGCUUGGUCCUCCUCCUCCUCCUGGCAAUCAUUUAUCAGACUCUGGGAGGGGGGCAGCGCUCGGGAGCCUUUCGUCACCCGUCCGCGGAGCGAGGAAUACAAGGUGGUGUCAGUGACUAGAGAUUAGGACAGUGGAAUUUUGCAUUUGUUACAGGAGCAGCUGUAGCGAGUGGUUUCAGCCGCAGGGCAGAGUCCCUGAGCAGGGCGCGGCUGCAGCUAGGCAGACGGGCGGCGGAGAGCGCGGGGGCGAUCGCGGGGCGGUCGUGGGAGCGGGGCCGCCAAGGCGGGGCGGGACUCCAGACCGCAGACCCGGACUGCACGGGGCUUCUCCUGGCGGCCCCUGCACCCGUGGAUCUGUCUGCUGAGGCGCGCUUCCACUCCCAGAGUUUAUUCCUGGUUCCUUCUUCAGUCCUGCUCAUCGGAGGACCCGGUUGCCAUGGUGAAGGAAAAAGUGGCCCACCCUCAGGACCCUCACCACCCAUCGGAGAAGCCUGUCAUUCACUGCCAUAAAUGUGGGGAGCCUUGCAAGGGUGAAGUGCUUCGGGUCCAGACCAAACAUUUCCACAUCAAGUGUUUCACCUGCAAAGUGUGUGGCUGUGACCUGGCACAAGGGGGCUUCUUCAUAAAGAACGGAGAGUAUCUCUGCACCCUGGACUACCAGCGGAUGUACGGGACACGCUGCCAUGGCUGUGGGGAAUUCGUGGAAGGAGAAGUCGUGACUGCUCUGGGCAAGACCUACCAUCCCAAUUGCUUUGCUUGUACUAUCUGCAAGCGUCCGUUUCCACCCGGAGACCGAGUCACAUUCAAUGGGAGAGACUGCCUUUGUCAACUCUGUGCACAGCCGAUGUCAUCCAGUCCGAAAGAAACUAACUUCUCCAGCAAUUGUGCUGGCUGCGGAAGAGAUAUCAAGAAUGGGCAGGCACUGCUGGCGCUGGAUAAGCAGUGGCACUUGGGGUGCUUUAAAUGCAAGUGCUGUGGGAAGGUCCUCACCGGGGAGUACAUCAGCAAGGACGGCGCCCCGUACUGUGAAAAGGACUACCAGGGACUCUUUGGGGUGAAAUGUGAGGCAUGUCACCAGUUUAUCACAGGGAAAGUCCUGGAGGCAGGUGACAAACAUUACCACCCCAGCUGUGCACGAUGCAGCAGAUGCAACCAGAUGUUCACGGAAGGAGAGGAAAUGUAUCUUCAAGGUUCCACUGUUUGGCAUCCCGACUGUAAGCAAUCUACGAAGAUUGAGGAAAAGCUGCGGCCGCCAAACAUUCGGUGUUCUCCAUCCAAUUUCUUUUACCCCAAAAGUCUGAUUCGACGCACAGGACGGUCUCCAUCUCUGCAGCCUACCAGGACAUCCUCGGAAAGUAUUUAUUCUAGACCAGGCUCCAGUAUUCCCGGCUCACCAGGUCAUACUAUCUAUGCAAAAGUAGACAAUGAGAUCCUGGAUUACAAGGACUUAGCAGCCAUUCCCAAGGUCAAGGCAAUUUAUGACAUUGAACGUCCAGAUCUUAUUACCUAUGAGCCUUUCUACACUUCGGGCUAUGAGGACAAACAGGAGCGACAGAGCCUCGGAGAGUCUCCGAGGACUUUGUCUCCUACUCCAUCAGCAGAAGGAUACCAGGACGUUCGGGAUCGGAUGAUCCAUCGGUCCACUAGCCAGGGCUCCAUCAGCUCCCCUGUGUACAGCCGCCACAGUUACACUCCAACCACGUCACGCUCUCCCCAGCAUUUCCACAGACCUGAGCUUUUGUCUCCUGGUGUGCAGAGGUUGUCGUACCUGCGCACCAGCAGCCUCAGCCCCACCCACAGCGACUCCCGCCCCAACCCCCCUUUCCGACACCACUUCAUUCCCCAUAUCAAAGGCAAUGAGCCGUCCAGCGGCCGGAACUCCCCUCUCCCUUACCGGCCAGACAGCCGCCCUCUAACUCCAACUUACGCUCAGGCCCCUAAACAUUUCCAUGUUCCAGAUCAAGGGAUCAACAUUUACCGAAAACCACCCAUCUACAAACAGCAUGAUGCAGCUGCCUUGGCAGCCCAGAGCAAGUCCUCAGAAGAUAUCAUCAAGUUUUCCAAGUUCCCAGCAGCCCAGGCACCAGACCCCAGCGAGACACCAAAGAUUGAGACGGACCACUGGCCUGGUCCCCCCUCAUUUGCCGCCAUAGGACCUGACAUGAGACGCAGAUCUAGUGCCAGAGAGGAAGAUGAUGAGGAACUUCUGAGACGCCGGCAGCUUCAAGAAGAGCAAUUAAUGAAGCUUAACUCGGGCUUGGGACAGUUGAUAUUGAAAGAAGAGAUGGAGAAAGAGAGCCGAGAAAGGUCAUCUCUGUUAGCCAGUCGCUAUGACUCACCCAUCAACUCAGCUUCACAUAUUCCAUCAUCUAAAACUGCAUCUCUCCCUGGCUAUGGAAGAAAUGGGCUUCACCGGCCUGUUUCUACCGACUUCGCUCAGUAUAACAGCUAUGGGGAUGUCAGCGGGGGAGUUCGAGAUUACCAGGUAUGGAACACUUUGUCUUUCUUGAACUGGCCACACCAGCAGAACAGCCAUUUUCCAUUCCAAACUGCUGGCCCCAAGGCAGCAGUUUCUGUUGAGAAGAUGCUUGCUGUGGUUGAUCUGUCUAAUUAUUACUCCAUAGCUGUGAAGAGCAGGCAUGCUUGCUGCCUGGGUCGUGCUGUCCCAGUAGGCCUUGGGGAUACCACAUGAGCCAAGCCAGGUGUAGGGGACUCUCUUGCUUUGGCCUUGGAGAGUCUUCUCUGGGGUGGAGGUGGACCACCAUCAAGGGUCUGCUCAUAUACAGUUUUUCUUCUUUUACUUAUAAUCUCUCAGUACUUUAGUCCACUCUUCUCCUGCAUGUUCUUAAAUGAAAAGACACUUAUGUCUUAGCCGACAGGAGAGAGCAGUUUGCUCUCAUUGCAUUCCUUUCUCACUAGAACCUAAAUUUUGUAAAAAAACAAAACAAAACAAAAAAAUGUGAUAGAGAAUAGGAAAAGAGGAAAAAUGCAGAGAAAAUCAAGAUUAGAGAUAAGAAAAUAACAAUAAUAGACUUGGCCAUCUUCUAAAUGUCCCAUAUACUUUUAUUCAUGGAGUCUAAUUGAGGAAUUUAUCCAUAGCUAUUAAGCCAAGAUCUCUCCCUAACUUGAUUGCAAAAGAGCUGUAUUCCUGCUCUUAUUCAGCAAGAAUCUCAUUUUGAAAACUACAUAGUCAUCUAGAUGACACCAAUGAAAUAGUGGUUAGGACUGGAGACCCAACAGGGAGUCGGGAGCCGAAGAGCACUCCCUUCAGUUCCCCAGGUUAUCUCAUGCCCCACCUCCAACCAGCAUCUCUGUUGCAGACGCUUCCAGAUGGCCACAUGCCUGCAAUGAGAAUGGACCGAGGAGUGUCUAUGCCCAACAUGUUGGAACCAAAGAUAUUUCCAUAUGAAAUGCUCAUGGUGACCAACAGAGGGCGAAACAAAAUCCUGAGAGAGGUGGACAGAACCAGGCUGGAGCGCCACUUAGCCCCUGAAGUGUUUCGGGAAAUCUUUGGAAUGUCCAUACAGGAGUUUGACAAGUUACCUCUUUGGAGACGCAACGACAUGAAGAAAAAAGCAAAACUCUUCUAAGUUCCCACUCUGAAUGGCAAUUAGAGAAAGCACUGACCGUGGCGUUACCCCAGAGGAUGUCAUAUUGAGGCCCAAACUCAAUUGGAGAAUUUGCAAGCUAUCAUUGCUCAGCAAUACCAAAAAGAGAAAGUCUGGUUAAAACACCCAUGAGUCCAACAUCAGGCCAGCCAAGAGUAACACUUGCCAAGAAGCAUGGGGUAGAAACUUCUGGGUUCCAGAACACAGAGUAGUGCCCACAUGUGACCUUUUCACAUGACCUUAUGUAUACAACAGGAGCUGCGUUGUUUUCUUCUUCUGUUUUCCUCUACCUGUUCUCCAACAGUAGUGCUGACUGUACGGAUAAGAGCCAGCAAGUGCCCUUAGGAUGCCACAUGGGAAAGAUCGGUUAUCAUAAUUUCAAAGUAUAAAUAUAUUUAUUGUGUAGCGCUGUGGCUAAGAAGGAAGAGUGAGGGGUCUGUCCAUGUGACAGCAGUGAUUUCACAGCCACCUUUCUUGACUGGCGUCAUGUUGCUUCACCAGCGCUCUGGCAGGUGAACAGGGCAGGUCAGGGAACAGGGCAGCUCUGUUUGCAUGGGGUGAAUAACAGCAAAAUUAAUUCUUAAUAAGCUCCUUGUUCUCUGCCGUUUGCUGGGACCUGGUUGGCAAAUGACUUAGCUAUUAGAAUAUUUAAAAACUGUUUUAAAGCAAAAGAGGAGGAACAGGAAUGAAAGGGAACCUUCCCUUAACUUUCUGCUUCCCAUAGCGAGCCUGGUUUCUGGUUUCCACCUAGCACAGGAGCUGUCUCGAGCUCCACUUUUGCAAGGAAAGGAAAAACAGAAAUUGCCUACAGAUUGGCUCAGUGGCAUGCUAUUAGGUUAUUUUGCCCAGGGGCCAUAUCACUGUUGGCAAAAAAAAAAGUCCCAUGUCCUACUGACUCCAGUCCUUCCAUCAUUGUCCUCUGCUGUCUCUCUGGCAGCCUAUGAAUCAGAUCAAGCCCAUGCUGUUGGUUUUUAAGGUUUCUUUCAGUAAUAGGCUAAGGAAAGAUGUGUUUUUCUCUUUUAAAUCUCUGCAACUCCAAAGUAGACUCCCUUAAACAGAUUUAAUUUGGCCUUUUCAGCUUUCUUCUUGCCUAGCUCUGUUGACUUCAUGAGUGUAUGUAUGCAUGUUGGUUUCACUCACUCAGAGUAAUUUUGUGAGUGCGCAUGUGCUUUCUAAUUUCUACUCGAAUGUUUGUCCCACAGUGUUGCAGCUUCUAAAGACAUUUUCACCAAGUAUAUGUGACUCAAGAUCAAGAGUGAGGCUAAACUGCGCCCCCAACAUCACUUCCUCCAUGGAAAGGUGUUGGUGCUGAUGUAGCUCAUAACAGGAUCGAGGAAGGACGAGGCGGGAUAUGGAGGUCAGAGCAUCUCACAAGAGCCCUCAGACAAAAAAAAAAAAAAAAAAAAAAAGAGCCCUCAGACUCUGCAACACUGUAUUUAAAUUUAAGCCUAGGAUUUCACCAACACAUGUGUGCAUAUAAAACCACAUCAUGAUUCCCUAUGUGAGUUAGAUGAGGGAGAGUUUGUGUAACUCCACACCCAGGAGGUUAAGUCAUAUUUAUUAUCAUGCUUUGGGGCUCUGCUUAAUAAUUUAAGCUCUGUUUUAAAGCCAAAGAAGAAAGAAUUUGAAUUUACCUUCAUAUGCCACUGAGAACAAAAGCUCUGAAGUCCUUCCUGCUGGCACCAGGUAUUAGGCUUACAAGCUAUCUCUCUGACACAGGUGGUAAAGGAGCAAGUAGGAUAGUUUUUGAGUCUGCAUUGCAGCCUCUGAUACAUGGCCCACUGCUGUCAUUUGGGGCUGGAAUGAACACCGUCACUGUUUUACAGCAUCCUCCUGUGCUCUUACUGAAGGAAUACAAAUUGUCCUAGCCUUUCAGUGCUAUGCACUGAAUAUUUGAGGACUGUUCUCGUGUGUGUGUGUGUGUGUGUGUGUGUGUGUGUGUGUGUGUGUGUGUGUUGGACCUAUUCACAUCUUUAGCAAAUGGCUCUGACAGGGUGGCCAUAAGCAGAUGAGACCAGCUUUUGCUUGGCUGAAAGGCAGACUGCAGUUUGCAGUUUGGCCUUCGGUGUCUCAGUGGCCUUUUGCUUAUUCCAUGCUUUUUCUGUCCCAUCUCUCUCAUCCUCUUUUUCCGUGCCCUCCUGCACUAGUAGCCUUGGCACAGUGCCUGGGCGUCCUCAUCCUUGCUUUACUCUGGAAAGUGUGGGGACAGAGAGGAUGGUGCAUUUCAUGUUUUCUUACCUGUCAGUAACAAUGGUGGCCACAUGGGUCCCAGCACUUGGCUGGUGGAGAGAUUAUUUUUCAUUAUGGAGCUAAUAAAGGGCCUCCAUGUUUUACAUUGAUUAAUGAAUUAUCACCCACACAUGUGCAGAUCAAAUGUCAAUAUAAGAGUAAUUAAGGUAUUUGGGAAACAUGGGCAUAAUCAGGUAGUUUUACUAAAAUUCCUCUUCCUUGGUCUUCAUAAAGAAGAUAUGGGUCUGUCAUAGAAUGGGGACAUUAGACUGAAAACUGGGACAACCCCCUUCCUUAUUUUACAGAAACUAGGAGUUAAGGGGCCUGCCUAAGAUUGCAAUGAUAAAGAACUGAACCCUAAGUCAGCUCCCACUAAUGAAACCCUGCUUUUCUUGUAUCUUUUAAACUCAGUUCUGCAUCCAACUUGAGGAGAAAAGUUCCUUUCCAUAUCAAAUACUAUAUGAGUUCAUUUAAACUGCACCUUGCAGAAAUGCAUUGCCAGAAAGCACCAGUAGCCUCCUGUGUGCAAGCAGAGUAGUGCUCUGCUCUGGGGAGGGGUCACUGGAAACUGUAAUGCAGAGUGCGACCCCUACUUCAUUUCCCGGCAGAAGGCUCUAGCCGGAGGGAUGGGUCAUGGGGCAACCUGGUACCUGCUAACUGCCAGAACAAAUUAUGUGGGCUAUAAUGCCUGUCCAUUUGGUUAAACUGGGCUCAGCAUGCUUGUCCUCAAAGUGUCCUUCCUGGUCACAGCACAUGAGAUGGGUAUUGUCUGCUUUCACCCCACCCUGUACUACACAUGAAAAUUCCAGUUAUUAACGCACUCAAACUAAUGGAGCUUGUUCACCCUAGGAGGGGAAUUAUAUAUAUGGCAGGCUUCUCUGGUGCAUAUGUAAAGGGCUACAUUUUGGAACAUUUUACUUCCUUGGGACUCUUACAUGCAUACUGAUGGCAUGAAGUAAAAGAGGCCUCUAUGAUGAUAUGAAAAUCAGUUCCUCUUAUAAAAGGUCUUCAAGAAAAUCCAGGCUAUCAUAUAGUCUUUCUGUGUGACUUAUUAGGAGAUAGGAAGAGCCUUUGGAAACUUGCACAGCUAGCUAUGCAUCUACAUUUUGGUUUGGGGUUAGUUAUGAAAUGUUCUUAAUAUGACUUCUUCAAUAACUUCACAUAAACUGCCUGUUCUUCAAAACCUCAAAGAGAUCAACUAGAGUUAGUUUUUUGUUUUUAAUGGGGUAGUUUUCUAUCUGUCAUGGGCUCUAGCAUCUACUCCGCUACCCAAUUCUGUCAUCUCCAAGCUGAGUUUCCUCUUCUGAGGCAGAGGCUGGAGCAGUUCAUUUUCAUUUCUGACCCUCUCCAUCCCAGUCUGGUCUAUCAGUCCACUCUAACUCAGAGAUGUCUAGCUGAUAAUGUUUCUAAAAGUUUCACUGAAUUUAUUUAGAUAUCGAAGCAAACAUUUUUUUCUAGAAUUGCUUCUCAGAUGAUUAUAUCAAAUACAUAUGCUUUUGCAAGUUUGAAAAAUUCAAACUUUUGACUAGAUAAGUCUUUCUAAAAAUGAUUUAAAGCUAACUUGGUCUUGGCAUCCUCCCAUGUAUCAAAGGGACAGGUGGGUGCUCACAGAACCCUUUUCCUGACUGUCUUGAAAGAUGGUGGAAGGAAAAUGGACUGUCUCGUCAACCCUCCUGUGUCCUCUGAAGCAGUCUCAGUUCUUAAUCCCUCUUCUGUGUUUCUGGUAGCUAUUUCAUCUGUACUCCUUAUGCCAGCCUCGAUUUUAUUUGAUUUUUAAAAUUACUCUCUUCUAACCAAUGAAGUGUUUGUCGGUAUGCCCCAAAGCUUGCUCUUUUGUGCUCCCUGUUGAAGAACUUUCUAUCCAGAAAAAGAGAUUACUUGGGACUUGAGAUUUGCAGUGAUACCAGCUUAUAGCAAUGAUGUACUUUAAGGGAACUAUUCAUCUAUGUUGUGAUAGGAGAAAGAGAAACCUUCACUUUGGCAUUUUUAAAAUACAAAAAAUAAUAAUAAUAACUGUUUAUUUUUCUGUUUGCUGCCCAGGAAGCAGUGGGAGGUGGUGACAGAUACGCUUUGCAUAUGGAUUGUUAUGUUUUUAUUUGGGCAAGUUUAAUCAUGCAAAACUCAAAAAGAAAGGGGGAAAUGGUCAGUUUAAGCCGAAAGAAACGUUCUAAGCAAUGAAUACAUACACAGCAAAAUUAAACAAAUCCAACAAUUUCUGAAGCUUAGUAUAAUUGAGUGGCAGUUGUUAUUCAAUAAAAUUCUUCCCCAAAGUGUUUCUCCAAAGAGUCCAGUUCCCAUGAGUCACUUCCUGACCCCAGUGACCAAAGGUGGACGGAGAUGAUCUUGACAUUCAGGAAGAUGUGAGCUGCUUACUGAUCAUGUGUGCGUAUGUUUCUUUACAGCAGAGGAAACCAUGGUCCGCAAAACUCUUGUUCUUUUGGGGUUUUAUGUACAGACUUGUCCAAUGAUGUGUGUGGUUCCUGUGAGUUGCUGACAGCUCUGCAUUGAAGCUCUCUGAGCUCUUUCAUUUUUAAGUUGGGUUUAUGGAAUAUUUUCAAAUGUUGGAAGGCGUAUAGUUCUUCCUGCCCUCCCUCCCUUUUCGGAAAUAUGAAAGCAAAUAUUUAGAAGAAUUCCCUUUGAAAAGCUGUGUUGUGUUCCCCAUGAAACUGAGCAGGUGUGUGUUGGCACGCCGAGUGCCACGUGCUUGUGUGCAGAGGAGAAGGUGGCCCUGCCAGCUCCACGCUGCUGUGCCUGUGACCCUGACCUGCUCCCCGCUCCUGUUGCAAGCAGCACUCACUGCACUCCUUUGUCAUAUACUCUGCAUCACUGUCAUCCUCACAACUUCGUGAAUAAAGUUGUGUGCUUUCUUCGUA